Molecule: ribosomal RNA, 564 nt
Filed under: uncultured archaeon
Lineage: Archaea
Description: bacterial SSU rRNA
Rfam family: Archaeal small subunit ribosomal RNA
Source: RNAcentral
CGCGAAUCGCCCUUCGGGGUGCCCAGGCGCGAAACCUCUGCAAUAGGCGAAAGCCUGACAGGGUUACUCUGAGUGAUUUCCGUUAAGGAGAUCUUUUGGCACCUCUAAAAAUGGUGCAAAAUAAGGGGUGGGCAAGUCUGGUGUCAGCCGCCGCGGUAAUACCAGCACCCCGAGUGGUCGGGACGUUUAUUGGGCCUAAAGCAUCCGUAGCCGGUUCUACAAGUCUUCCGUUAAAUCCACCUGCUUAACAGAUGGGCUGCGGAAGAUACUAUAAAGCUAGGAGGCGGGAGAGGCAAGCGGUACUCAAUGGGUAGGGGUAAAAUCCGUUGAUCCAUUGAAGACCACCAGUGGCAAAGGCGGCUUGCCAGAACGCACUCGACGGUGAGGGAUGAAAGCUGGGGGAGCAAACCGGAUUAGAUACCCGGGUAGUCCCAGCUGUAAACGAUGCAAACUCGGUGAUGAGUUGGCUUUAUGCCAACUCAGUGCCGCACGGAAUCCGAUAAGUUUGCCGCCUGGGGAGUACGGUCUCAAGACUGAAACUUAAAGGAAUUGGCGGGGGAGCAC